GAGCCUGCCCCUGCAAGUGAUGAUGCUAACUGCCUGUUCAAGGACAGGCCAGAAUACUUCAUGAGGCUGGGCUGCUCAUGGGGCCACAGAGUCCCCUUCAGGACUUCAAAAGGAUCAAUUCCAUCUAGCCUACCCAAUGCUCUGCCUGCUAGGCUGCACGUCUCUGUCUGACCUCCUUCCUCAAUGGCUGCAGCCCAUCAAUGCUUCCUAGCAGCUCUGUCCUGACCUGGGUGGCAGACACCCCAGCUGUCGCCCUCCUCACUGUUCCUUCCCUUAUCUUCCUGCUUGGACACAUCUUAGGCCAUCUGAGAUUUUGCAUCUCGGCUGUCUCCUAGGCCCUGAGCCACUUCGACCCUGAGGAUCAGAGAUGGCUGUCCCGAUUACCCUACUUUCUUGGUUCCCUGCAGCUUCAGAGGUUGAGGCCUUCAUAGGAUUGAGACCUUCCUCCAGAGGGCCUGGGGCCUGGUGCCCCCAGAAGCUGCUGAAGGAACCAGCCCGCCAGGCUCCUCCGUCCAUGGGAUUAUCCCGGCAAGAAUACUGGAGUGGGUGGCCAUUUCCUCCUCCAGACCCAACACGCCUGGUGUCCUUAUAAGAAGAGAAAAUGUGGAGACAUAAAGAGACACCAAAGAUGCCUACACACAGGGAAAAGACCCCGUGAAGACACCGCCACCUGUAGCCUCAGGAGAAACCAAACCUGCCGACACCUUGAUCUUGACUUCCAGCCUCUAGAUGGAUAGACAGUACACUUCUGUUGUUUAAGUCACCCAGUCUGCGGUAUUUUGUUGUGGUGGCCCUAACAAACCAAAACACUUUCAUAAAAGGUGUUCUGAGCUGGUUUCCUUGAGAAGGGGACAUUUGAGAAAAACCCUGAAGGAUGCAAUGGUGUGGGGGGAAAUCUUCUGAAAUUCCGAUGGAAGAGCAUCCCAGGUUUUGGGGCUCUGACGGGCCUCACACCUCGAGUGCCCACAGGACAACAUGGACACCAGUGCAUGCAAAAAAGCAGAGUGGGUGAUGGAGAAAACGGGCGGAUGGGAGAUCAGAGAUGGGACGGGAUGUGGGAGGGCGUUCUCUGCAGGAGGUGGGGAGUUGCUGUGGAGUUUAGAGCGGUGGUUCUCAGUUGGGAAGAAGAGGGUUUUGUGUCCAAAUCUGACAAGUGUCUGAAG
Bos taurus (domestic cattle) is the source of this 1163-nucleotide long non-coding RNA. Lineage: Eukaryota; Metazoa; Chordata; Mammalia; Artiodactyla; Bovidae. The record is from Ensembl.